Molecule: ribosomal RNA, 504 nt
Filed under: uncultured bacterium
Lineage: Bacteria
Description: partial 16S ribosomal RNA
Rfam family: Bacterial small subunit ribosomal RNA
Source: RNAcentral
GAUGAACGCUAGCGGCAGGCUUAACACAUGCAAGUCGAGGGGCAGCAUAAAUAGUAGCAAUACUAUUGGUGGCGACCGGCGGACGGGUGCGUAACGCGUAUACAACCUUCCCUAAACAGGGGGAUAAUCUGGAGAAAUUCGGUCUAAUACCCCAUAACAUCAGAGCAGGCAUCUGUUCUGGUUAAAAUUUCCGGAGGUUUAGGAUGGGUAUACGUAGCAUUAGCUAGUUGGUGAGGUAACGGCUCACCAAGGCGACGAUGCUUAGGGGGACUGAGAGGUUAACCCCCCACACUGGUACUGAGACGCGGACCAGACUCCUACGGGAGGCAGCAGUGAGGAAUAUUGGUCAAUGGGCGGAAGCCUGAACCAGCCAUGCCGCGUGCAGGAUGACGGCUCUAUGAGUUGUAAACUGCUUUUGUACGAGGGUAAAGUGGGCUACGUGUAGCCUUUUGAAAGUAUCGUACGAAUAAGGAUCGGCUAACUCCGUGCCAGCCGCCGCAGUAA